Molecule: ribosomal RNA, 468 nt
Filed under: uncultured bacterium
Lineage: Bacteria
Description: partial 16S ribosomal RNA
Rfam family: Bacterial small subunit ribosomal RNA
Source: RNAcentral
GACGAACGCUGGCGGCGUGCUUAACACAUGCAAGUCGAACGGAAAGGCCCUGCUUUUGUGGGGUGCUCGAGUGGCGAACGGGUGAGUAACACGUGAGUAACCUGCCCUUGACUUUGGGAUAACUUCAGGAAACUGGGGCUAAUACCGGAUAGGAGCUCCUGCUGCAUGGUGGGGGUUGGAAAGUCUCGGCGGGUGGGGCUGGACUCGCGGCUUAUCAGCUUGUUGGUGGGGUAGUGGCUUACCAAGGCUGUGACGGGUAGCCGGCCUGAGAGGGUGACCGGCCUCAUUGGGACUGAGGUACGGCGCAGACUGCAACGGGAGGCAGCGGUGGGGAAUAUGGCACAAUGGGCGGAAGCCUGAGGCAGCAACGCCGCGUGCGGGAUGACGGCCUGCUGGUUGUAAACCGCUUUCGCCUGUGACGAAGCGUUAGUGACGGUAAUGGGUAAAGAAGCACCGGCUAACUACGUG